RNAcentral lists this long non-coding RNA (405 nucleotides) under Nicotiana benthamiana. Its description in RNAcentral is "long non-coding RNA (NBEN_LNC031484)". Lineage: Eukaryota; Viridiplantae; Streptophyta; Magnoliopsida; Solanales; Solanaceae. The record is from RNAcentral.
CCAACGAGAAUCAUGAACAAGAAACCAAACCCUCUGCCGGAAACUCAACAAUGACCUCAAAACUCGACUCGAUUACAAAACUCAAACCAUCUCUUUUUGGGAACGAAAAUCAGAAGAUGAAGCGCAUUUCUUUUUCUUUUCGGACCUGGCCUUUUCACUGUCUCAAUUGUGCAUGUUCCGGCGAUGUGUUGUGAAUGGGAGGGGGGCUGUCCGGCGCUGGACGUGAUGCGACAGUGGUCAUCUCUGGCGGAGGACUGGUCGUGAGGGCGUCGUGAAGGAGAAGACGUUGGGCGACGUGAGAGCUGAGGAGUCGUUUGGACGUAACGACGAUAGAAAAGGUGGUUGUUUGGAUGGUGGAAGUUGACGGUUGUGGCUGCUUUCUUGGGGACGAGGGGUGUGGCUGGG